RNAcentral lists this unclassified non-coding RNA (379 nucleotides) under uncultured bacterium. Its description in RNAcentral is "contains 16S-23S intergenic spacer region". The record is from RNAcentral.
UCCGGCUUAUCACCGGCAGUCCCUUUAGAGUGCCCAACUAAAUGGUGGCAACUAAUGGCAAGGGUUGCGCUCGUUGCGGGACUUAACCCAACAUCUCACGACACGAGCUGACGACAGCCAUGCAGCACCUGUGUCCAGGUUCCCUUUCGGGCACCGCUGCAUUUCUGCAGCGUUCCUGGCAUGUCAAGGGUAGGUAAGGUUUUUCGCGUUGCAUCGAAUUAAACCACAUCAUCCACCGCUUGCGCGGGCCCCCGUCAAUUCCUUUGAGUUUUAGCCUUGCGGCCGUAGUCCCCAGGCGGGGUGCUUACCGCGUUAGCUGCGGCACCGCGGGGGUCGAUACCCGCGACACCUAGCACCCAUCGUUUACGGCGUGGACUAC